Molecule: ribosomal RNA, 292 nt
Filed under: uncultured bacterium
Lineage: Bacteria
Description: partial 16S ribosomal RNA
Rfam family: Bacterial small subunit ribosomal RNA
Source: RNAcentral
GUUCCUACGGGGGGCAGCAGGGAAUAUUGCUCAAUGGGGGAAACCCUGAAGCAGCAACGCCGCGUGGAGGAUGAAGGUUUUCGGAUUGUAAACUCCUUUUGUUAGAGAAGAUAAUGACGGUAUCUAACGAAUAAGCACCGGCUAACUCCGUGCCAGCAGCCGCGGUAAUACGGAGGGUGCAAGGGUUACUCGGAAUCACUGGGCGUAAAGAGCGCGUAGGCGGGAUAGCAAGUCAGAUGUGAAAUCCUAUGGCUUAAACAUAGAACUGCAUUUGACACCGUUAUUCUAGAGG